UGGGGAAUAUUUGACAAUGGGCGAAAGCCUGAUCCAGCCAUGCCGCGUGUGUGAAGAAGGUCUUCGGAUUGUAAAGCACUUUAAGUUGGGAGGAAGGGCAUUAACCUAAUACGUUAGUGUUUUGACGUUACCGACAGAAUAAGCACCGGCUAACUCUGUGCCAGCAGCCGCGGUAAUACAGAGGGUGCAAGCGUUAAUAGGAAUUACUGGGCGUAAAGCGCGCGUAGGUGGUUUGUUAAGUUGGAUGUGAAAUCCCCGGGCUCAACCUGGGAACUGCAUUCAAAACUGACUGACUAGAGUAUGGUAGAGGGUGGUGGAAUUUCCUGUGUAGCGGUGAAAUGCGUAGAUAUAGGAAGGAACACCAGUGGCGAAGGCGACCACCUGGACUAAUACUGACACUGAGGUGCGAAAGCGUGGGGAGCAAACA
RNAcentral lists this ribosomal RNA (427 nucleotides) under uncultured bacterium. RNAcentral's name for it is "partial 16S ribosomal RNA". It matches the Rfam family "Bacterial small subunit ribosomal RNA", at positions 355 to 774 of the family's 1533-position model. The record is from RNAcentral.